UGUGGUAAUUCUAUAGCUAAUACAUGCAUUUAAGCCGUGACCUUACGGGAUCGGCGCAUUUAUUAGAUCAAAGCCAAUCGGACGCAAGUCCGCUCUUUGGUGAAUCUGAAUAACUCAGCACAUCGUACGGUCCUAGUACCGACGACGCUUCUUUCAACAAUCUGCCCUAUCAACUUUCUAUGGUAGUUUAUGCACCUACCAUGGUUGUUACCGGUAACGGAGAAUCAGGGUUCGAUUCCGGAGAGGGAGCCUGAGAAACGGCUACCACAUCCAAGGAAGGCAGCAGGCACGCAAAUUACCCACUCCCGGCAAGGUGAGGUAGUGACGAAAAAUAACGAGAUGAUUCUCUAAGAGGGUCAUCAUCGGAAUGAGCACAAUUUAAAUCCUUUAACGAGGAUCUAUUGGAGGGCAAGUCUGGUGCCAGCACCCGCGGUAAUUCCAGCU
RNAcentral lists this ribosomal RNA (444 nucleotides) under Nematoda environmental sample. Its description in RNAcentral is "SSU rRNA". It matches the Rfam family "Eukaryotic small subunit ribosomal RNA", at positions 148 to 590 of the family's 1831-position model. The record is from RNAcentral. Lineage: Eukaryota; Metazoa; Nematoda.